This 384-nucleotide ribosomal RNA is filed under the name Dechloromonas sp. R-28451. RNAcentral's name for it is "bacterial SSU rRNA". It matches the Rfam family "Bacterial small subunit ribosomal RNA", at positions 54 to 440 of the family's 1533-position model. Lineage: Bacteria; Pseudomonadati; Pseudomonadota; Betaproteobacteria; Rhodocyclales; Azonexaceae. The record is from RNAcentral.
CAUGCAAGUCGAACGGCAGCACGGACUUCGGUCUGGUGGCGAGUGGCGAACGGGUGAGUAAUGUAUCGGAACGUACCUUUCAGUGGGGGAUAACGUAGCGAAAGUUACGCUAAUACCGCAUAUUCUGUGAGCAGGAAAGCAGGGGAUCGCAAGACCUUGCGCUGAUUGAGCGGCCGAUAUCAGAUUAGCUAGUUGGUGGGGUAAAGGCCUACCAAGGCUACGAUCUGUANCGGGUCUGAGAGGAUGAUCCGCCACACUGGAACUGAGACACGGUCCNNACUCCUACGGGAGGCAGCAGUGGGGAAUUUUGGACAAUGGGGGCAACCCUGAUCCAGCCAUGCCGCGUGAGUGAAGAAGGCCUUCGGGUUGUAAAGCUCUUUCGGC